GUCAACCAGGUGGUCGCUGUGUGUUUGUAAUGGACACAGAGAGGAAAGUCCGAGCAUCAAAAGAACGGAGUGCCAGUUAACGGCUGGUGGAGGCGACUUCAAGGAAAGUGCAACAGAAAUAGACUGCCUUAUGAAUUGUUUAAAUGGAAACAUUUUGACGCUUUAAGGCGAUGGUGGAAAGGUAGGGUAAGAGCCUACCGGGUGGUUGGUAACAAUCACUGCUCUGUAAACCCCACUCGAUGCAAGGUUAAGUUUUUCGCAAAUGUGCGUUCUUUCACGCGAGAGCAAAAAUACCGCUGGAGCCUAUUGGCGACGAUAGGUCUGGAAAGAUGACUGCCAAAAACAGAACUCGGCUUAUAGAUUGACUG
Molecule: RNase P RNA, 368 nt
Filed under: human gut metagenome
Description: Bacterial RNase P class A
Rfam family: Bacterial RNase P class A
About the family: Ribonuclease P (RNase P) is a ubiquitous endoribonuclease, found in archaea, bacteria and eukarya as well as chloroplasts and mitochondria. Its best characterised activity is the generation of mature 5'-ends of tRNAs by cleaving the 5'-leader elements of precursor-tRNAs. Cellular RNase Ps are ribonucleoproteins.
Source: RNAcentral